Molecule: long non-coding RNA, 151 nt
Organism: Telopea speciosissima
Lineage: Eukaryota; Viridiplantae; Streptophyta; Magnoliopsida; Proteales; Proteaceae
Exons: 3
Source: RefSeq, a predicted model, not a curated record
UCUCUCUCUCUCCCUUCCAAGUUCCAAACCCUUUUUUGAUUUUGAGUGAUUAUGGUGGACAUUGUAGGUUCUCUUUCACACUCUUGCGUCUGCAGAAUCACGGACCAAACACGAGCCAACGAAGGGCGAGAGAGAGAGAGAGAGAAAGAGA